GACGAACGCUGGCGGCGUGCCUAAUACAUGCAAGUAGAACGCUGAAGCGAGGCGCUUGCUCUUCUUUGAUGAGUUGCGAACGGGUGAGUAACGCGUAGGUAACCUGCCUUGUAGCGGGGGAUAACUAUUGGAAACGAUAGCUAAUACCGCAUAACAAUGGAUGACACAUGUCGUUUAUUUGAAAGGGGCAAUUGCUCCACUACAAGAUGGACCUGCGUUGUAUUAGGUAGUAGGUGAGGUAACGGCUCACCUAGGCGACGCUACAUAGCCGACAUGAGCGGAUGAGCGGCCACACUGAGAGUGAGACACGGCACAGACGGAUACAGGAGGCAGCAGUAGGGAAUCGGCGGGAAUGGGGGCAAACCAGAGCGAGAAACGCCGAGUGAGUGAGGAAGGUUGUCGGAUGGUAGAGCACUGUUGUAAGGCAAGAACGAGUGUGAGAGUGGAAAGAACAGACAGUGACGGUAACUGACCAGAAAGGAACGGCUAACUACGUG
This 497-nucleotide ribosomal RNA is filed under the name uncultured bacterium. RNAcentral's name for it is "partial 16S ribosomal RNA". It matches the Rfam family "Bacterial small subunit ribosomal RNA", at positions 28 to 507 of the family's 1533-position model. The record is from RNAcentral.